ACGGGAGGCAGCAGUGGGGAAUAUUGCACAAUGGGGGAAACCCUGAUGCAGCGACGCCGCGUGAACGAUGAAGUAUUUCGGUAUGUAAAGUUCUAUCAGCAGGGAAGAUAAUGACGGUACCUGACUAAGAAGCGCCGGCUAAAUACGUGCCAGCAGCCGCGGUAAUACGUAUGGUGCAAGCGUUAUCCGGAUUUACUGGGUGUAAAGGGUGCGUAGGUGGCAAAGCAAGUCUGAAGUGAAAUCCCGGGGCUCAACCCUGGAACUGCUUUGGAAACUGUUUAGCUAGAGUGCAGGAGAGGUAAGUGGAAUUCCUAGUGUAGCGGUGAAAUGCGUAGAUAUUAGGAGGAACACCAGUGGCGAAGGCGGCUUACUGGACUGUAACUGACGUUGAGGCUCGAAAGCGUGGGGAGCAAACAGGAUUAGAUACCCUGGUA
RNAcentral lists this ribosomal RNA (434 nucleotides) under uncultured Lachnospiraceae bacterium. Its description in RNAcentral is "partial 16S ribosomal RNA". It matches the Rfam family "Bacterial small subunit ribosomal RNA", at positions 341 to 792 of the family's 1533-position model. Lineage: Bacteria; Bacillati; Bacillota; Clostridia; Lachnospirales; Lachnospiraceae. The record is from RNAcentral.